Long non-coding RNA from Carya illinoinensis, 1568 nucleotides. RefSeq lists it as uncharacterized. NCBI's taxonomy places the organism in Eukaryota, Viridiplantae, Streptophyta, Magnoliopsida, Fagales, Juglandaceae. The transcript is spliced from 2 exons. The record is from RefSeq and is a predicted model, not a curated record.
AAGAAAGAAAAAAAAAAAAAAACAAAGAAAGAAAUAUACUGCAGGAAAUUAAAAUGGUACGUAAAACAGAAUGAUAAAAUGGUGUGCUUCCAGGUGCUAUUAAACGAUGCACUUCACUUUUCUCUAACACUGUGUGUUUUGCCUAUUAUUCCUUUGCCUUCUAAAAUGACAUUGUAGGACAAGAGCCCUUGACUUCAGUUCCCCUUCUUUGACUUCAAGUCUCCGACUUCACUCUUCCAUCCCUAACUCUCCUUCAUCCCAUCUGCUCUUCCACAAGGCCAUAACAAGCCUCCACAAUUAGAGAACAUUGCCCAUAAGGGGGGUAGGUUUCUAGUAAUUUCCAUAGUAAUUCCCAAGUAUUAUUUUCGGCGGUGGCUCCGAUCCACUUUAUGAGAACCUUUGUGAUUGUGCAGUGGCCAUGGCAUUUGACUCUAUGAUCCAUGAUGCUUUCCUGUUUUGGUUGAAGCUCGCUGCUCGCAUUAACUAGUAGGAGUGAAGAAAGUGGAUGGAUUUGCUCGCUGAGCUUCCCCUUAAGGCAGGAGAUGUGAAACAUCGGAUGAAUUCGAGUGGUAGGAGGUAAAUCCAAACAGUAAGCCCCUGCAGCCAGCCUUUGAACCACUUGGAAUGGUCCAUAAAAUCUUGGUGAAAGUUUGAGAUUGUGACUUGGAGCCACUGAUUUCUGCCGUUAGGGUUGAAGACAGAGGCCAAAUGCUGCGCUUAAGUUCACCAAAUUCAACAGACGAAGUGUAAGACAUAUCUCGUCUUUGAGGCCACUAAUGAAGCAACUCAGCUUGUGAGCGUCUGGGAGCCCUUUGAGCCUGUUUGAAAGGGCUUCAAACUCAUCUUUAUAAGCUGCUACUGAUGAAGUUUGCUUUAGCUUUUUUAGAGCUUCUAUGGGAUCAUUGUACGUUGUGGUUCUAAGAUGUAUUUGGAGUGCUUGAAGAAAGGUUGACCAACAUGUAAACUGCCUCGUGUCCUCUACAUCUCGGUACCAAAUUAGUGCUUGUCCCUCCAUGUGGUAUGAAGCCAUGAGUAACCUAUGAGCUUGAUGUGUUUGGUGAAAGUCAAAGUAGUGAGAGGCCUUAAAUAUCCACCUCUUUGGGUCUGAACCAUCAAAAUGUGGGAAAUCCAGCUUGACCCCCCUCAUUCCAUGGCACUAAUGGUCAAAGUUUUCUGGUUCCACAUCUAGUUCUCGGUGAGGCCCCCUGUUCUAGUUAGCUACCAUUGUGUGCAGCAUAUCAUUUGUCUGGUUCUGUGUAGCAACCAUAGCCCGCAUCUGAUCUCUCAGCUCCUGCAUCCCUUGCUCAUGUGACUCAACUUGCUUUGAAUUGUCUCUUGUUGUUGUUUGGAUCUAUUGCCCUUAGCCAUUAGGAACGGUGUCUCUAGAUACCAAUUGUUAUGAUUCUGAUUAUAAAAGAAAGGUAGAAGAAUAUAUAGAGGAAAAAUGAAGUGAAUUUGUAAUGAAAUAUAGAAGAAUAUGUAUUGAAUUUCACUGAAUAUUACUAAAUAAAUUGUAAGGAUAGAUGGGUUUUCAAGGAACCCUAGCCUUUAAUGUUCUGACAAGCCAA